AGCUUGCUCUUCUUGGAUGAGAUGCGAACGGGUGAUUAACGCGUAGGUAACCUGCCUUGUAGCGGGGGAUAACUAUUGGAAACGAUAGCUAAUACCGCAUAACAAUGGAUGACACAUGUCAUUUAUUUGAAAGGGGCAAAUGCUCCACUACAAGAUGGACCUGCGUUGUAUUAGCUAGUAGGUGAGGUAACGGCUCACCUAGGCGACGAUACAUAGCCGACCUGAGAGGGUGAUCGGCCACACUGGGACUGAGACACGGCCCAGACUCCUACGGGAGGCAGCAGUAGGGAAUCUUCGGCAAUGGGGGCAACCCUGACCGAGCAACGCCGCGUGAGUGAAGAAGGUUUUCGGAUCGUAAAGCUCUGUUGUAAGUCAAGAACGGGUGUGAGAGUGGAAAGUUCACACUGUGACGGUAGCUUACCAGAAAGGGACGGCUAACUACGUGCCAGCAGCCGCGGUAAUACGUAGGUCCCGAGCGUUGUCCGGAUUUAUUGGGCGUAAAGCGAGCGCAGGCGGUUUGAUAAGUCUGAAGUUAAAGGCUGUGGCUCAACCAUAGUUCGCUUUGGAAACUGUCAAACUUGAGUGCAGAAGGGGAGAGUGGAAUUCCAUGUGUAGCGGUGAAAUGCGUAGAUAUAUGGAGGAACACCGGUGGCGAAAGCGGCUCUCUGGUCUGUAACUGACGCUGAGGCUCGAAAGCGUGGGGAGCGAACAGGAUUAGAUACCCUGGUAGUCCACGCCGUAAACGAUGAGUGCUAGGUGUUGGAUCCUUUCCGGGAUUCAGUGCCGAUGCUAACGCAUUAAGCACUCCGCCUGGGGAGUACGACCGCAAGGUUGAAACUCAAAGGAAUUGACGGGGGCCCGCACAAGCGGUGGAGCAUGUGGUUUAAUUCGAAGCAACGCGAAGAACCUUACCAGGUCUUGACAUCCCGAUGCUAUUUCUAGAGAUAGAAAGUUACUUCGGUACAUCGGUGACAGGUGGUGCAUGGUUGUCGUCAGCUCGUGUCGUGAGAUGUUGGGUUAAGUCCCGCAACGAGCGCAAC
Molecule: ribosomal RNA, 1040 nt
Filed under: Streptococcus thermophilus
Lineage: Bacteria; Bacillati; Bacillota; Bacilli; Lactobacillales; Streptococcaceae
Description: bacterial SSU rRNA
Rfam family: Bacterial small subunit ribosomal RNA
Source: RNAcentral